UACAGAGGAGCCAAGCGUUGUCCGGAUUGACUGGGCGUAAAGCGCACGCAGGCGGACGCGCGCGUGGGGUGUGAAAUCUGGCCGCUUAACGGCCAGGCGCCAUCCCAUACGGCGCGUCUGGAGUGAUGCAGAGGUCGAUGGAAUUGCCGGUGCAGUGGUGAAAUGCGUAGAGAUCGGCAGGAACACCCAGGGGGAAACCAGUCGACUGGGCAUCUACUGACGCUGAGGUGCGAGAGCGUGGGGAGCAAACAGG
This 253-nucleotide ribosomal RNA is filed under the name uncultured bacterium. RNAcentral's name for it is "partial 16S ribosomal RNA". It matches the Rfam family "Bacterial small subunit ribosomal RNA", at positions 524 to 776 of the family's 1533-position model. The record is from RNAcentral.